GGGCGGUUAGCUCAGCGGUAGAGCACUGGCCUUACACGCCGGCUGUCACAGGUUCGAAUCCUGUAUCGCCCA
Molecule: transfer RNA, 72 nt
Filed under: Acidobacteriota bacterium
Lineage: Bacteria; Pseudomonadati; Acidobacteriota
Also listed under: 3 other names
Description: Acidobacteria bacterium (freshwater metagenome) tRNA-Val
Rfam family: tRNA
About the family: Transfer RNA (tRNA) molecules are approximately 80 nucleotides in length. Their secondary structure includes four short double-helical elements and three loops (D, anti-codon, and T loops).
Source: RNAcentral